GACCACUCCAGUGGCCUAGUGGUUAGAGUGUCCGCCUCAGAUGAGGGAGGUUGUGGGUUCAAUCCCCUGCUGAGUCA
This is a non-coding RNA of Potamilus streckersoni, 77 nucleotides long. The record is from the annotation of a GenBank genome assembly. Lineage: Eukaryota; Metazoa; Mollusca; Bivalvia; Unionida; Unionidae.